Lutra lutra (Eurasian river otter) is the source of this 5647-nucleotide long non-coding RNA. RefSeq lists it as uncharacterized. The transcript is spliced from 5 exons. NCBI's taxonomy places the organism in Eukaryota, Metazoa, Chordata, Mammalia, Carnivora, Mustelidae. The record is from RefSeq and is a predicted model, not a curated record.
CAGAAGGGAUGGGACCCGAGAAAAGGGUGCGAAGGAGACCCCAGUAGGGGCAGGACACUGCAGGUAAAGAAGGGAAAGAAGAGGCCGAGAAGUCAAGGGCCAGGCUGUGAAGGAGAAUAAAGGAGGUCAAAGAGAGGUCAUAUCUUCGUACCUCACUUCCUGACACAAACAAGUUUUUACUGUUGUCAGCAACAAAGCCCUAAUAUAGCUGCGGAAGAGAAAAACUGCAUUGCAUUUAGCCUCCUGCAAGCAUCAUCAACAGUUACUGGAGGAAUGUAAUUCCAGAAAGCUUUAAAGCUGGUGGUGAUGGUAAUUAUGUAUCAAAUGCCUGAUUCUAUUUCUGUUAUUAUUGUUUUGUCAUUUCUGUUCUACCCAAGAGCUGGCUGAACUCGCAGGGAGAAAUCCGGGUUUUCUUUUAGACUUUGUAAAAAUUAAUCAGCCCCGGUAGAAAACUCAUUGCUCUCGGGGAGAAUAAAGUAGGAGCCACGAAAUGUCAUUUUAGCAGAGCGUGGGUUUUGCGACUGUAGGAAAGGAUUUAAGGACGCGCCUUCUGUUCGGUUUCCUAUGUAACGAGCAAAGGCUACACGCACGCACAGACGCCACAGCUCCCGGAUGCUGUGGCUCCCUUAUCUGGGCUUCUGCAGCUCCAGAAGCCCCUUCGGGAUGCUGCGAGGGGCUCCCGGUGGGUGGUGGUAGGAACGCUGCGGCCGCCGCCGCCGCCACUCCUGCCGCUGCUGCUGUUGUUGCUGCUGCAGUCACGUGGGAGCCCCUUUAAGUUUCCAUAGAGAGGCCUCUCCGGUGUCACAUGAUGGACAUGAUAUAAUGAAACAACAUUGUGGAGAGGAAAGCAUUAGGGGAGCCCACGGCUACAAAAACAAGUGAGUGAGAAGAGGUGGGAGGAAGAGAAACUACGCCACCUCCCCUGCAGCCGAGCCGCACGCAGCAGCCGGCGAGAAGUGGGCGACGCCGGGGGGCAGGGAGACGGGGUCCUCGGCCCCGGCCCGGGGACCCUGCCGCCUACCGCGGACAGCACAACUUUUAGCCGGCAGCCUCGGCCACCACCGCACCUGUCUCCGGAGCCUCCAUCGCUCCUCGUGACGAUCCAAGGGAAAUUCUAGAAGAAUACGCUCUACAAAUAUACAUGCGCAUCAUUUUCCUCCUUGCGUCUCGCUCUAGAAGGAAAGAGAAAGGGAUUCGAGCGGCAGCGUGCGUUCCGCCCCAAGGGAGAAAAUUCAAGACGUUAUAUACCACUCCUCCCGUUUUAAAUACUGAUUCAGCUCGAAGCUAGGCUGAAGGUUGGAAAAUGGAAAUUCAGGAGGAAAAGUAAAAGUUGGCCAGUGACGACCUGUGACCAGUACGCAGGGAGGCUGCCUCUGGACCUCAGGCUUCGGACCGUGGCUUAUGCUGCUGGAAUUAGGCCUUUACCUAAGGGCCCCAUCUUUGUGUGACUCGGAGUCCUUCUCUGUUUGCCUACCAGCCUGCGAAUUUAACUGCGUGUAUUUACGCAUUUUAUUAAUGCUUUUGAAGAUUAGAAGAUAUUUUGCCUUCUGGAGUUUUCUGACUCACUGCUGAUGAUCUGAGCUUGAGCUGAGGGCUGCCCGGUUAGGGGAGAUGAUCAGUAAGCCUCUGUAACAUUCAAGUGAGUAGAGAUGCCGCUGUGCACUGUGUUUAACUGCUUAAGAAGAAAGUAAAAUUUCGUGACGUUAAAGGUUUAAAGUAUUAUGCAUUUUAAUUGGAUCCUUUAAGUUUUGUUGUUGAGUAAUGAUGGCAGUUAUUGUAAUUCCAACAAGUUGAGUAUUUGUAAGUAAUGGGAUUCCAGAAGAAAUUAAUCCCCUGAUGAUAAAAAAAAAGUUUGUGAAAAUAUUUUCCAUGAAUAAUACUUGAGCUUGUAAUUAAUCUAGUGAAGACCUAAGUGCGUAUAUUAGAAACUUAAAAGCGUUCUCCCUGGUGCUUUAUUUUACUUUUAUGUUAUGAAAUGCAAAAUUAUUGGUAAGGCAACUCAUAAAUUUUAAAAAUACGGCUGUAUCUGUACCGAAGUUGUCUUUUAACAUAGACUAUAUUUUGGUUAACUUGAAAUAAAUACUGGUUUGUUUUGUAGAAGUAGAAUUUUAAUAGCUCUUAAUAUUUGAAAUAACGAUUUUUCCCCCUACUAAUAGAGAUAAAAACACAGAAUCUCUCCGGAUUUAACUUUCUUUUUUAAUUGAGGAGACUAAGAAGGAAGGGCAUCCAUACUUUCUAAUCAAAACAUAUGGAUGAAAUUUAAAGAGUUGAGCCAGUAAUCUUGAUAGAAAUUGUUUCUCAGAAUGAAAGCUAUUUCUCCUCUUCUUAUAGCAGUUGAACCUGUUUUAACAAAACUAGGAAACCAUGAGGUUGUACCGUGGUCUUGAAUUGUGAAGUUAAAAAUGAUUAAUAAAUAUACAGGUGUUUCCCUCUAUGAUGGGUUAAAUUUGGUUGCUAUCUGUGCUGUCCCAAAUGGUAGCCACUGGCCACAUGUAGCCACUGACAUUUGAAAUGUGGCUAGCACCACUGGGAUGUGUUGUGCAUAACAUACACACUACAUUCAAAGACUUACAUGAAAGAAAACCCUGUAAAAUAUUUUAUUAAUAAUUUUUGUAUGAGUCACAUAUUGAAAUGACAAUAUUUUGGCUAUAUUAGGUUAAACAAACCUCUUAAAAAUUUCACUUGCUUUCUUUUGUGUUUUUAUGUGACUGCUGGAAAAUUCUAAAUUACUUGUAGAUUACAUUAUAUUUCUAAUGGACAGAAGUAGUCAUAUGUGAUCAACAUUCUUAGUGAUCCAUUACUCACCAUUCUGUAGGCUUGAGUCUUCUGGUGUGUGUAUGGAUCAGUCAGUAUAAAUCUAUAUUAUAAAUGUAUAUAUAUGUAUAAAUCUAUAUAUAUGGUUCUUUGAUUCAUCAGAUAGUUCCUAAUAUCUACCAUGUGCCAGACAGUAUUCUAGUCACUGGCCGUACAGUACAGAACAAAAUAAACCAUCCUGGGGCGCCUGGGUGGCUCAUUCCAUUAAGUGUCCCAACUUUUGAUUUUAGCCCAGCUCUUGAUUUCAGCAUUGUGAGUUCAAGCCUCAUGCUGGGCUCCAUACCGGGUGUGGAGCCUACUUAAAAAAAAAAAAAUGUCCUCCUUUUCAUGGAGUUAGCAAUGGAGACUAAACACAGACUAAAAACAAAGAAGAAAAAAAUAUAUAAUCUAUUAGAAAGCUAUAAGCACUCUGGAAACAAGGUAGGGUGUUCAAGAAAAGCCUCACUGAGGAAGGUGAGAGAAGGACCCUGUAGAGAUCUUAGGGAAGAGUGUUCCAGGCAUGGGGAGUAGAAACACAAAGCUUUUGUGGCAGGAGUGUGCUUGGCUUGUUCAAGUGGUGGUGGAAGGAGGUGUGGUGAUGGUUUGGAGUGGAGUGAGUGAGGGGGAGAGGAGAUGAAAGGUAAUGCAUGGUCAUAGCAGGUGAGCGUUUGCAAGGAUUCAGUAAGGUGGAGCUCCCUUGGUGGGUUUUGAGAAGAGAAGUGACUGGAUCUUCCUGUGGAAGCUGUUUCAACUGGACUUCUCUGAGGGGAGGGUGGGAGCAUUUCCAAGGGUGGCAGCAGAGAGCCCCAAGGCUGCUGCCGUGACCCGUGUGAGAGAUGGUGGACCCGGAGCCCAUAAACAAGGAAAGUGAAGAGAAGGGAGGGAAUUCUAGUUACCCCUUACUGUGGAACUGGAUGUAGAGUGAGAGAGAAAGAGAUGUGUCAAGAAUGACUCCAUUUGCAGCUUGAACCACUGAAGAAUGGAGUUGCCGUUUGAGUUGGCUUGGAGUGAACAGGAUGACGAGGGGGCUGCUCAGUUUUGGACACGUUCAGUUGGAGAUUCCUCUUCAGACCUCUGAGUGGGAAGGUCAAGUAGGCAGAGUCUGGAGUUCAGCGAGCGUCAGGGCUGAAGAGGCGAAUUUGAAAUCAUAAGCAAUUACUAUUACUUUAAAGCCCUAAGAAGAGUUGAAGCCACCAAAGGAGUGAGAAGAGACGGAAAAGGGGAGAGGGAGUGGGCAGUAGUUCAGGAACACCGUCUGCGCUCAGAGAGGCCCACUGGACCCGUGUUGUCGAAUUAGCAUCUGUCUUCUCCAGGGCAGCAGUGAUGCGGUAGCCACGUGGGAGAUGCUUUUAUCUCUGGAAGCUGCACACUGACGUAUUCAGGGGGGAAGUGUCCUAUGUCUCUCUUCCCCUUUUGGAUGGUCUGACACAAAAGAACUGUAGAAAAAACUGGAAGGAGUGUGCUAAAAUGUCAGCGUGUAGGACUUCAGCUGAAUACCUGAAUACUUUGAACUUUUCUGCAGCUUCAAAGUUGUUUUUAAAAGCACCUCUGAAGAGGGACAAGUGUGAGGGUGGUGGGCUGCUGGUUUUCAUAAGUCUCGCUGAGUGUUUGACGCUACACACUCCAUACAUGUUUGACUUGGGUAAGAAUAGAAAACAAUAAAAUAAGUCAGCUGGUAGGGGAAGCGUGGUGACUUUGGGAAAUGUUACCUAAUAACCAAAUCAGUUCUUUGGAAAUUAGUACUUUUUAAAUAUGGCCGUUGAGUCUGAGGGCUGGAAUUUACCUUGGAGCACCGCUCAGCCUGCCUCAUCCAUGCUAGGGAUUAAUAAAAUGAAGUUCAAGGAAGUGAAAUGACUUGCACAGGGUCACGUGCCCGUGUCGCAGCAGAGCCAGAUCUGAAAACUGCAUCUUUGUACUUUGGUUUCAAUCAUUUAAAAAAAAAAAAAAAAAAGGAACGAAAGGACAGAGAGAGGUCUAGGACCUGAGCCAGGGACCACUGCAACAACUGGAGUCUCAACACGAGAGCCUGAGGAACAGAUGAGAAGGUAGGCAUUGGGAUAUUCUAGUCACCAAGGGCGGAAGUGUUGUGAGAAGCAAGGAUAACUGGCCUCGUCAAAUGCUGCUGGUGCGUUAGAUACGACGUGAGGUGGAAAUCGAGCAUGGGAUUCAGCAGCGAGGAGGUUAUUAGCAAGGUCGACAAAAGGUUUUCGUGAAGUGGUGGAGGAAAAAGCCCGAAUGAAACCGGUUCAAGGGAGAGUUGGAGGAGGUGCCCCGAAGAGGGUGAGUGUAGACCCUCUUCUGAGGAACUGUGGAGGCAACGGGGGGCGGUCAAGGAAGUGUUUGAUGUUUACCAGAUGGGAGAAAUUACUUUUUUUCCAAUGUGUGUAUUAAGAAAGAUUUCAAGAUACUCUUCUGAAAUGACCCACCAGGUUUGUGACACUUAAGACUACCACCGUGUGUGUGUGUGUGUGUGUGUGUGUGUGUUUAGUGUUUCCCUCCUAGGGGGGUUUCCUAGAACAGUGCUUUGUACUGUGUGUGUGUGUGUGUGUGUGUGUGUGUGCGCGUGCAUAUGUGCACAGGUGUGGAGAGGUUGGCAUUAUGUUAAAGGUUGCUUUUGUAUAGUUGUUAGAAAAGUUGGCCUCAUUUCUUCUUGCUCAGGGAGUGCAUUCACACUGCUAUAAUUAGAAUUUUAGAAUUUUCAAGGAAAUAUGUGUUAAGCCUGUUCUCAAUCGAAAGUGUUGAGAAAGCGAUUGUUUGGGGGGUAAUCUCUUCCCCUUACCUUUUUUUUUUUUUUUUUUUUUUUUGGAAAGACUUUAUUUAUUUGAUAGUGAGCACUAGCAGGGGGAGCAGCUGA